GCGCUCAUAGCUCAGUUGGAUAGAGCAACUGCCUUCUAAGCAGUAGGUCGUGAGUUCGAGUCUCGCUGAGCGCA
Molecule: transfer RNA, 74 nt
Filed under: Minisyncoccota bacterium
Lineage: Bacteria; Bacillati; Minisyncoccota
Description: tRNA-Arg
Rfam family: tRNA
About the family: Transfer RNA (tRNA) molecules are approximately 80 nucleotides in length. Their secondary structure includes four short double-helical elements and three loops (D, anti-codon, and T loops).
Source: RNAcentral